CCUACGGGUGGCAGCAGUAGGGAAUCUUUCACAAUGGGCGAAAGCCUGAUGGAGCAACGCCGCGUGCAGGAAGAAGGCCCUCGGGUUGUUAACUGCCUUUAUUAGGGAGAUAUAUGUAGCCAACUUAUGAAUUAGGAUCGUCUAAUUACGUGCCACCAGCCGCGGCUAUACGUAGGCACCGAGCAUUAUCCGGAGUGUGUGUGCGUAAAGAGUUGCGUUGGUGGUAUAAUAAAUGGCUAGUGAAAUUUGGUGGCUCAACCCUUCAGACUAUUAGCGAAAAUGUUAAGAUCGAGACCGUUAGGGGUAACUGGAAUGGCUAGUGUAGGAGUGAAAUCCGUAGAUAUUAGGAGGAACACCGAUAGCGUAGGCAGGUUACUGAGACAUAACUGACACUGAGGCACGAAAGCGUAGGGAGCAAACAGGAUUAGAUACCCGAGUAGUC
Molecule: ribosomal RNA, 442 nt
Filed under: uncultured bacterium
Lineage: Bacteria
Description: partial 16S ribosomal RNA
Rfam family: Bacterial small subunit ribosomal RNA
Source: RNAcentral